Molecule: ribosomal RNA, 301 nt
Filed under: uncultured bacterium
Lineage: Bacteria
Description: partial 16S ribosomal RNA
Rfam family: Bacterial small subunit ribosomal RNA
Source: RNAcentral
CAGCAGCCACGGUAAUACGAAGGGGGCAAGCGUUGUUCGGAAUUAUUGGGCGUAAAGGGUGCGUAGGCGGCUUGACAAGUCUUGUGUGAAAUCUAUGGGCUCAACCCAUAGUCUGCACGGGAAACUGUCGGGCUUGAGAAUGGGAGAGGUGAGUGGAAUUUCCGGUGUAGCGGUGAAAUGCGUAGAUAUCGGAAGGAACACCUGUGGCGAAAGCGGCUCACUGGACCAUUUCUGACGCUGAUGCACGAAAGCUAGGGGAGCAAACAGGAUUAGAUACCCCGGUAGUCCCUGUCUCUUAUAC